Molecule: ribosomal RNA, 496 nt
Filed under: uncultured bacterium
Lineage: Bacteria
Description: partial 16S ribosomal RNA
Rfam family: Bacterial small subunit ribosomal RNA
Source: RNAcentral
AUGAACGCUGGCGGCGUGCCUAAUACAUGCAAGUCGAGCGAACAGACGAGGAGCUUGCUCCUCUGACGUUAGCGGCGGACGGGUGAGUAACACGUGGAUAACCUACCUAUAAGACUGGGAUAACUUCGGGAAACCGGAGCUAAUACCGGAUAAUAUAUUGAACCGCAUGGUUCAAUAGUGAAAGACGGUUUUGCUGUCACUUAUAGAUGGAUCCGCGCCGCAUUAGCUAGUUGGUAAGGUAACGGCUUACCAAGGCAACGAUGCGUAGCCGACCUGAGAGGGUGAUCGGCCACACUGGAACUGAGACACGGUCCAGACUCCUACGGGAGGCAGCAGUAGGGAAUCUUCCGCAAUGGGCGAAAGCCUGACGGAGCAACGCCGCGUGAGUGAUGAAGGUCUUCGGAUCGUAAAACUCCGUUAUUAGGGAAGAACAAAUGUGUAAGUAACUAUGCACGCCUUGACGGUACCUAAUCAGAAAGCCACGGCUAACUACGUG